GCUUAACACAUGCAAGUCGAGGGGCAGCAUGGUCUUAGCUUGCUAAGGCCGAUGGCGACCGGCGCACGGGUGAGUAACACGUAUCCAACCUGCCGUCUACUCUUGGACAGCCUUCUGAAAGGAAGAUUAAUACAAGAUGGCAUCAUGAGUCCGCAUGUUCACAUGAUUAAAGGUAUUCCGGUAGACGAUGGGGAUGCGUUCCAUUAGAUAGUAGGCGGGGUAACGGCCCACCUAGUCUUCGAUGGAUAGGGGUUCUGAGAGGAAGGUCCCCCACAUUGGAACUGAGACACGGUCCAAACUCCUACGGGAGGCAGCAGUGAGGAAUAUUGGUCAAUGGGCGAGAGCCUGAACCAGCCAAGUAGCGUGAAGGAUGACUGCCCUAUGGGUUGUAAACUUCUUUUAUAAAGGAAUAAAGUCGGGUAUGCAUACCCGUUUGCAUGUACUUUAUGAAUAAGGAUCGGCUAACUCCGUGCCAGCAGCCGCGGUAAUACGGAGGAUCCGAGCGUUAUCCGGAUUUAUUGGGUUUAAAGGGAGCGUAGAUGGAUGUUUAAGUCAGUUGUGAAAGUUUGCGGCUCAACCGUAAAAUUGCAGUUGAUACUGGAUAUCUUGAGUGCAGUUGAGGCAGGCGGAAUUCGUGGUGUAGCGGUGAAAUGCUUAGAUAUCACGAAGAACUCCGAUUGCGAAGGCAGCCUGCUAAGCUGCAACUGACAUUGAGGCUCGAAAGUGUGGGUAUCAAACAGGAUUAGAUACCCUGGUAGUCCACACGGUAAACGAUGAAUACUCGCUGUUUGCGAUAUACGGCAAGCGGCCAAGCGAAAGCGUUAAGUAUUCCACCUGGGGAGUACGCCGGCAACGGUGAAACUCAAAGGAAUUGACGGGGGCCCGCACAAGCGGAGGAACAUGUGGUUUAAUUCGAUGAUACGCGAGGAACCUUACCCGGGCUUAAAUUGCAGAUGAAUUACGGUGAAAGCCGUAAGCCGCAAGGCAUCUGUGAAGGUGCUGCAUGGUUGUCGUCAGCUCGUGCCGUGAGGUGUCGGCUUAAGUGCCAUAACGAGCGCAACCCUUGUUGUCAGUUACUAACAGGUUCCGCUGAGGACUCUGACAAGACUGCCAUCGUAAGAUGUGAGGAAGGUGGGGAUGACGUCAAAUCAGCACGGCCCUUACGUCCGGGGCUACACACGUGUUACAAUGGGGGGUACAGAGGGCCGCUACCACGCGAGUGGAUGCCAAUCCCCAAAACCUCUCUCAGUUCGGACUGGAGUCUGCAACCCGACUCCACGAAGCUGGAUUCGCUAGUAAUCGCGCAUCAGCCACGGCGCGGUGAAUACGUUCCCGGGCCUUGUACACACCGCCCGUCAAGCCAUGGGAGCCGGGGGUACCUGAAGUGCGUAACCGCGAGGAGCGCCCUAGGGUAAAACUGGUGACUGGGGCUAA
This 1434-nucleotide ribosomal RNA is filed under the name uncultured organism. RNAcentral describes it as "16S ribosomal RNA". It matches the Rfam family "Bacterial small subunit ribosomal RNA". The record is from RNAcentral.